CUAUGCGCCUUGCCAGCCCGCUCAGGUGUGCCAGCCGCCGCGGUAAUACAGAGGUCUCAAGCGUUGUUCGGAAUCACUGGGCGUAAAGCGUGCGUAGGCGGUUUCGUAAGUCGUGUGUGAAAGGCGGGGGCUCAACCCCCGGACUGCUCUGGAAACUGUACAGCUGGAGUGCAGGAGAGGUAAGUGGAAUUCCUAGUGUAGCGGUGAAAUGCGUAGAUAUUAGGAGGAACACCGGUGGCGAAGGCGGCCUGCUGGACUGUGACUGACGUUGAGGCCCGAAGGCGUGGGGAGCAAACAGG
This 299-nucleotide ribosomal RNA is filed under the name uncultured bacterium. RNAcentral describes it as "partial 16S ribosomal RNA". It matches the Rfam family "Bacterial small subunit ribosomal RNA", at positions 475 to 776 of the family's 1533-position model. The record is from RNAcentral.